RNAcentral lists this unclassified non-coding RNA (399 nucleotides) under Bombus terrestris (buff-tailed bumblebee). RNAcentral's name for it is "misc RNA ENSBTSG00005036622.1". The record is from RNAcentral. Lineage: Eukaryota; Metazoa; Arthropoda; Insecta; Hymenoptera; Apidae.
AAGAUUAUACGAAGCUCUACUGUUAAUGAAGAGUAAGAGAAGUAUCAACGAAGUACAAAAUCCAAUUAAUCGUAUUUUCGUAAUAAAAUUAUUUACAUCAACUUUUUUUUUUUAAUAAUUCUUCAGUUUGGAAAAGUUAAGAUUAUUAUUGAAACUGUACAAUGAGAUCGUAUUCAUCGGAAAAAUGUAAUACGUUGAAAUACUUCGAUGAAAAGUUAAACGUGCCUAACAUGAAAACUGACGAUGUAUUCUGCGUUUGUUCGUUGAACAGAAAUAGCAAAUGGAUCUGUUGGAUGGAAGUUUAUUGUGACAUCUCUAAACGGACGACAGUUCACUCCUGGACACGCACUUCUGACCAAAUAUGCAUCAUCCUCUAAACAAAACCUGUUCCCAACCAAA